RNAcentral lists this ribosomal RNA (370 nucleotides) under uncultured prokaryote. Its description in RNAcentral is "bacterial SSU rRNA". It matches the Rfam family "Bacterial small subunit ribosomal RNA", at positions 524 to 896 of the family's 1533-position model. The record is from RNAcentral.
UACGGAGGGUGCAAGCGUUAUCCGGAAUCAUUGGGUUUAAAGGGUCCGCAGGCGGGCAUAUAAGUCAGUGGUGAAAGCCCUCAGCUCAACUGUAGAACUGCCAUUGAUACUGUAAGUUUUGAAUUCGGUCGAAGUUGGCGGAAUGUGUAGUGUAGCGGUGAAAUGCAUAGAUAUUACACAGAACACCGAUAGCGUAGGCAGCUCACUAGGCCUGGAUUGACGCUCAGGGACGAAAGCGUGGGGAUCAAACAGGAUUAGAUACCCUAGUAGUCCACGCUGUAAACGAUGAUUACUCGUUUUCGGCGAUAUACAGUCGGAGACUAAGCGAAAGUGAUAAGUAAUCCACCUUGGGAGUACGAUCGCAAGGUUG